UACGUAGGGGGCAAGCGUUAUCCGGAUUCACUGGGUGUAAAGGGAGCGUAGACGGCCAUGCAAGCCUGGAGUGAAAGCCCGGGGCCCAACCCCGGGACUGCUCUGGGAACUGUGCGGCUGGAGUGCGGGAGGGGCAGGCGGAAUUCCUGGUGUAGCGGUGAAAUGCGUAGAUAUCAGGAGGAACACCGGCGGCGAAGGCGGCCUGCUGGACCGCGACUGACGUUGAGGCUCGAAAGCGUGGGGGGCAAACAGG
RNAcentral lists this ribosomal RNA (253 nucleotides) under uncultured bacterium. Its description in RNAcentral is "partial 16S ribosomal RNA". It matches the Rfam family "Bacterial small subunit ribosomal RNA", at positions 524 to 776 of the family's 1533-position model. The record is from RNAcentral.